GUGAACGCUGGCGGUAGGCCUAACCCAUGCAAGUCGAACGGCAGCCCAGUAAGCGCUUGCUCUUACGGGUGGCGAGUGGCGGACGGGUGAGGAAUACAUCGGAAUCUACUUUUUCGUGGGGGAUAACGUAGGGAAACUUACGCUAAUCCCGCAUACGACCUACGGGUGAAAGCAGGGGAUCUUCGGCCCUUGCGCGAUUGAAUGAGCCGAUGUCGGAUUAGCUAGUUGGCGGGGUAAAGGCCCACCAAGGCGACGAUCCGUAGCUGGUCUGAGAGGAUGAUCAGCCACACUGGAACUGAGACACGGUCCAGACUCCUACGGGAGGCAGCAGUGGGGAAUAUUGGACAAUGGGCGCAAGCCUGAUCCAGCCAUACCGCGUGGGUGAAGAAGGCCUUCGGGUUGUAAAGCCCUUUUGUUGGGAAAGAAAAGCAGCAGGUUAAUACCCCGCUGUUCUGACGGUACCCAAAGAAUAAGCACCGGCUAACUUCGUG
RNAcentral lists this ribosomal RNA (491 nucleotides) under uncultured bacterium. RNAcentral's name for it is "partial 16S ribosomal RNA". It matches the Rfam family "Bacterial small subunit ribosomal RNA", at positions 29 to 507 of the family's 1533-position model. The record is from RNAcentral.